CACAGAUGGCUCAUCACCCAGGCUGCUGGUAGCAGAUCAAUUUCUUCAGGGCUCAUUUAUAUCAGCUGGUAAAGACAGGGAGUGGAUCGUGGCCAGAUAUGAAGAAGAAAUGAAUCUCAUUUUUGGACAAGAUAUACACAAAAGAGCCAUUGCACAGGACCAAAGAUAAACCUAUCCAGGAUGGAUUGAUGCACUUCUAAGCCAAUACAAAGGUCUUGAACCUAA
This 225-nucleotide long non-coding RNA is filed under the name Monodelphis domestica (gray short-tailed opossum). RNAcentral's name for it is "lncRNA (ENSMODG00000040646.1)". Lineage: Eukaryota; Metazoa; Chordata; Mammalia; Didelphimorphia; Didelphidae. The record is from RNAcentral.